RNA transcript from Gorilla gorilla gorilla (western lowland gorilla), 3515 nucleotides. RefSeq lists it as uncharacterized. The record is from RefSeq and is a predicted model, not a curated record. The transcript is spliced from 6 exons. Lineage: Eukaryota; Metazoa; Chordata; Mammalia; Primates; Hominidae.
CAUCUACUUAAAAAGAAAAAUGUUCUUUCUCUUGUGGAACUUAGAUUUCAGAAUGGAAAUGUAUUUUAUAUUGGCCAAUUGGACUGGCUGUGAAAGACCAGUAACCAAGCAAGAGAAGUAGAUGUUGCUUUAAUGAGGUAUAAACUAUAUCUUGUUAAAUAGGUCUUAUCUUAGACAAGUAGUAUAAAUGCACACCCAAACAUCAUUCAUUUGCAAUACAGAGGCAUUUAGAAGUGAUUCACAUGGAUUUUUUCCUUUUAUUUUUGGAAAGCAUUAAUCUAAGCUUCUGCUGUGUAUGGACCUGUGGCUACAUUACAAAAUUCAGUUGUGAAGCUAUAAAAUCAAUUAGUCUAGACCUCAAAUCUUAUUUCCUAUGAAAAGCCUCAAACUUGUAGCUGUAUGAACAAGUGUUUUUGGAAUUUUUUUUUUUUUGCUAGAAUGGAGAGAACACACUGGAGAUCACAAAUGCAUUUAUUCUUUUUCACCAACUGUUUCAUUGCCCUUAAAAAAUACUAGGCUAAACUUAAGUGGUAAAGAUCUGAAAUAAAAAGAUUCAUCUUUAUGUCCGAACAGCAAUUUUUCAUAGGUCUCUAAUAUCUUGCAUUUCCUUAUCUAUGGAUAAGGAGAUCUGAAAUUGAUCUACAUUUCCUUUAGUAAUGUUUUCUCUGUUUAUUGAGAACAGAUAUCUUCAUCUCCUUCAUGCAUUAUCCUUAGUAACAGAUGUCAGUAGGAUCCAGAGCCAUUUUGGAACUUUACCAAGGAUUAAGGAUGAGCACAGAUCACAUCAAGAGUCUGUAAGAAGACAGUAUUUCUGAUUUAGACCCAUAAAGACAGUAUCUCAUAAUUGUGAGCAAAGAUUGCAUUUGAAGGAUUAUGUUUCUUUUUCCUGACAAGAUGUUGCAUACUAUGGAAUGUAAAUUUUUGUGAUGAUUGGAGAGGAACUGAGCUCCUUUCUAGCUCAGUUCCUUUCUAGCUCAGUCCCUUUCCAAUCAUCGUAAAAUGGAAGCACAAACCUUCAACAAAAUGUAUUCCUUAGCUGAGCUUGAGAUUUUGCAUAGCCUCUCAUUUAUUCUUUCUAGAAUCAGUAAAGUGCAUUAGGAUUCAGAAGACUCCACUUGUUCUAUUUGCUCUCCAUUGCAUUAUGACUUCAUCAGGCACUGCUAUCAUGGGGCACUGGUAACAAAUAAAUAUCACUUUGGAGGCCAUGUGCAGAUCAGAUUUGGAAGUGACCAAGACUGGAGGCAGGGACACCAGAGUUUUCUGUUAAAAACUGGUCCAUUCAAGAAAAGAUGACUCCUGAAAUAAGACAGUGAUCAUUAGGAUGAAGAGGAAGAGAAGAUUUGAGGAAUACUUAGAACAGAAUUUACUGAAUUUACUGGUUGAAUUGAAUGUGAAGAGGAGAUGAAUAAAGAAGAAAACACCCUCAAAGGGAACCCUGAGCAGAAUACAUGCACAAACUCAUGCCACACCCUAAGGGACAAGGUUCCCCACAUCUACUUGGAAAUCUUCGGGAUGCUUAAUGGACACUUGCUCUGAUUCGUUUCUGGACUUCAGUGGAAGAAGCAGCCCUUAUCUAGGAUAUUGUUAGUCUUUGGCAGAGGGAAUACAAAGCAAUGGAAGGGUGAUGUGAUGGCUCCGAAAGCUUCUGUUGGAUGUAGAAUGUAAAGUUUGCUCACCUUUUUUAAUCCAAAAGCACACAGCAGUGAAGUAAACAAACUCCCUUGCCCUCAUGGAUUUUAUAUUCUAUGGUAAAAAAGACUAUAAACACAGAGAAAAACGAGGAGAGAAAAAUCUAAACCCAGCAGAAGAGAAAGUUUAAGAAAGCGGUCGUCGCCAAUACCAAAAUUAGGUACGAUAUUCAGGAAGAAAAAAAUGGAAACACGAUAACCACAUUCAAUAAAGACCAAGGCCAGAUUCCAUUGGCCAGAGCUCAGCCACGCGCCACACCUGGCUAAGGAGACUCUGGCUGAAGAAUUCCCUGAAUAUUUUAAUGUAGCUCUAGGUUAUAACACAGCACAACCACAAGGUGGCAGAAGAACUCCAUUCUUGUAAAUCUCUUAGUUGCUUCUUUAUUUCAUCUUCCCUAUUCCAUCUAAUGUUCCCUGAAUUUUACUAUUUUGUUGGUUUGAAGAUAUGUGUGACUUACGUCUUUUAAAGGAUUUGGUUCGUAAGGUUUUGAAUAGACUGGAAUAUAAAACAUUUAUAGAACAGAAAAAUACCUACAAUAUGAUGUUAGUGAACUAUUAAUAAUUAAUCCAAUUAAAUAAAAUAUAUUUGCUUUGGAUUAAUACAUAUUUUGUUUUGAUGUUUGCUAAAUAAAACUAAGCAUUAGGAGGUCAAAUAGCCACAACGAACAUUUUCAUAUUAUUUAAUAAGCCAGUUUCAAGGCAUACAUGCUAAAUUUGUUCUUAAGGAAAAGUUGAAUUUUUGCUUUCAUGAAAUUACAAACUCUAAGGCAAUUUUACACGUGUAAAUCCAAUGUGUUCUGAAGUUUAAAGUGUCAAAGGCUGUUGGAUUUAAACAGAUCUUGUAUGACUCUCUGUUUCAUCUCUUCAGAGGUUGAUAGUAAGCAACUUUGGCAGCAACUCACAGCUUCUGCUGUAACAUGAGGCUAAUAAUGACGACUUUAUAAGGUUGUUGCAAAGAGUCAGGGAUGCCACAAGCAACGUUCUUUAUAUAUGCAGAAUUUUAAAAAUAAAGUAAAUAAAAAUAUUCCUUCCUCUAUUCCCAAUUUUUCUAACAUUAUUUGCCACUGGUGUUUUAAUGCAAGACCAAAGGCUAAAAUAUACAUGUAGCGUGCAGAAUCAAAACCUAGAUCAGAUGUUCAAAAGCAUCAUGCUGCUAAAAGAUUUCAGAGUCUAAAACCUGUGCUCACUGUUCUGAAACAUCUUUCCACUUCCUGUUUAAAAAAAAAAAACAUGAUAUUCUUUGAAGCUCAUUUUUUGGGCUUCAUGUGUUGUAAUUAUACAUUUGUUAUAUAGGGUAUAUGAUGACUUACGCUCUAAGGUGUUAUUCAGUACAUUGUAGAAAAAGGAGAAUAAAGAAUGUUGUUUGUCAGUAGGCAGCUCUGUCCUCUUUAUCCUUGACUGUAAUUUACUAAAGAGCUGACAAAAUUACAGCACAGGCAGCAAUUCACCAUAUUACCCUGCAGACAGCCAAGAGACUGACAUUGAGACGAUGCGUUUUAACUUGGGUCCAUGUAAGGAACCUGAUGGGGUUAUAUGAAUUCUUUUCUGUACUAUGAAAAAAUGAAGUUGCUUAUAAGAAGGAGGUACAAAAGUGUGUACUCUGCGCAAGGCUACUGAUAAAGAUGCUACAGGGAUGCGUGGAAGCCGAAUAUGUAACACUGAAAUGGCUUUUGAUUCAUUUGUAUUUGGUCUCAGACAAGAAAAUAGAUUAAGAAAAGGUCUGAAAAAAUGGAGCACUAGGAAAAAUGAUAGGAAAUUUUGUGUUGUUGACUAACAGUUAUCUAAUAUGUAAUAUACGUUUGUAAUAUUUUGACAUAUAUGAUUUAA